Molecule: ribosomal RNA, 244 nt
Filed under: uncultured Staphylococcus sp.
Lineage: Bacteria; Bacillati; Bacillota; Bacilli; Caryophanales; Staphylococcaceae
Description: partial 16S ribosomal RNA
Rfam family: Bacterial small subunit ribosomal RNA
Source: RNAcentral
CGGCGGACGGGUGAGUAACACGUGGAUAACCUACCUAUAAGACUGGGAUAACUUCGGGAAACCGGAGCUAAUACCGGAUAAUAUUUUGAACCGCAUGGUUCAAAAGUGAAAGACGGUCUUGCUGUCACUUAUAGAUGGAUCCGCGCCGCAUUAGCUAGUUGGUAAGGUAACGGCUUACCAAGGCAACGAUGCGUAGCCGACCUUAGAGGGUGAUCGGCCACACUGGAACUGAGACACGGUCCAG